UUUAGAUCCUGGCUCAGGAUGAACGCUGGCGGCAUGCCUAAUACAUGCAAGUCGAACGAGAGACCUUCGGGUCUCUAGUGGCGAACGGGUGAGUAACACGUAGGGAACCUGCCCGCGCACCGGGAAUACGCUCUGGAAACGGAGAACAAAUCCCGAUGUACAGGAAGGAGGCAUCUUCUUUCUGUGAAACAUCCUUUAGGGGGAUGGGGCGCGGAUGGACCUGCGGUGCAUUAGUUGGUUGGCGGGGUAAAGGCCCACCAAGACGAUGAUGCAUAGCCGGCCUGAGAGGGCGGACGGCCACAUUGGGACUGAGACACGGCCCAGACUCCUGCGGGAGGCAGCAGUAGGGAAUUUUCGUCAAUGGGCGCAAGCCUGAACGAGCGAUGCCGCGUGAGUGAAGAAGGCCUUCGGGUCGUAAAGCUCUGUUGCGGGGGAAAAAAGGCAGCAUCAGGAAAUGGGUGCUGACUGAUGGUGCCCCGCCAGAAAGUCACGGCUAACUACGUG
Molecule: ribosomal RNA, 504 nt
Filed under: uncultured Allobaculum sp.
Lineage: Bacteria; Bacillati; Bacillota; Erysipelotrichia; Erysipelotrichales; Erysipelotrichaceae
Description: bacterial SSU rRNA
Rfam family: Bacterial small subunit ribosomal RNA
Source: RNAcentral